RNAcentral lists this ribosomal RNA (288 nucleotides) under uncultured bacterium. RNAcentral describes it as "partial 16S ribosomal RNA". It matches the Rfam family "Bacterial small subunit ribosomal RNA", at positions 29 to 334 of the family's 1533-position model. The record is from RNAcentral.
AACGAACGCUGGCGGCACGCUUAACACAUGCAAGUCGAACGGAGUUAACAGCUUGCUGUUAACUUAGUGGCAAACGGGUGAGUACAACACAGGUAUUUACCUUGGAGUGGGGGAUAGCCAUUGGAAACGAUGGGUAAUACCGCAUAUUCUCUAACGAGGAAAGAUUUAUCGCUCCAAGAGAAUCUUGUGCCGGAUUAGGUAGUUGGUGGGGUAAAGGCCUACCGAGCCUGUGAUCCGUAGCUGGUCUGAGAGGAUGAUCAGCCACACUGGAAUUGAGAUACGGUCCAG